RNAcentral lists this ribosomal RNA (497 nucleotides) under uncultured bacterium. RNAcentral's name for it is "partial 16S ribosomal RNA". It matches the Rfam family "Bacterial small subunit ribosomal RNA", at positions 28 to 507 of the family's 1533-position model. The record is from RNAcentral.
GAUGAACGCUGGCGGCGUGCCUAAUACAUGCAAGUCGAGCGAACAGACGAGGAGCUUGCUCCUUUGACGUUAGCGGCGGACGGGUGAGUAACACGUGGGUAACCUACCUAUAAGACUGGGAUAACUUCGGGAAACCGGAGCUAAUACCGGAUAAUAUUUCGAACCGCAUGGUUCGAUAGUGAAAGAUGGCUUUGCUAUCACUUAUAGAUGGACCUGCGCCGUAUUAGCUAGUUGGUAAGGUAACGGCUUACCAAGGCAACGAUACGUAGCCGACCUGAGAGGGUGAUCGGCCACACUGGAACUGAGACACGGUCCAGACUCCUACGGGAGGCAGCAGUAGGGAAUCUUCCGCAAUGGGCGAAAGCCUGACGGAGCAACGCCGCGUGAGUGAUGAAGGUCUUCGGAUCGUAAAACUCUGUUAUUAGGGAAGAACAAACGUGUAAGUAACUGUGCACGUCUUGACGGCACCUAAUCAGAAAGCCACGGCUAACUACGUG